This 253-nucleotide ribosomal RNA is filed under the name uncultured bacterium. RNAcentral describes it as "partial 16S ribosomal RNA". It matches the Rfam family "Bacterial small subunit ribosomal RNA", at positions 524 to 776 of the family's 1533-position model. The record is from RNAcentral.
UACGGGGGGGGCAAGCGUUGUUCGGAAUUACUGGGCGUAAAGGGCUCGUAGGUGGCCAACUAAGUCAGACGUGAAAUCCCUCGGCUUAACCGGGGAACUGCGUCUGAUACUGGAUGGCUUGAGUUUGGGAGAGGGACGCGGAAUUCCAGGUGUAGCGGUGAAAUGCGUAGAUAUCUGGAGGAACACCGGUGGCGAAGGCGGCAUCCUGGACCGGUAUUGACGCUGAGGCGCGAAAGCUAGGGGAGCAAACGGG